CGUAGCUCAACUGGCAGAGCGACGGCCUUCUAAGCCGUAGGUUGGGAGUUCGAGUCUCUCCG
This 62-nucleotide transfer RNA is filed under the name marine eukaryotic metagenome. It matches the Rfam family "tRNA", at positions 6 to 65 of the family's 71-position model. Rfam says of the family: Transfer RNA (tRNA) molecules are approximately 80 nucleotides in length. Their secondary structure includes four short double-helical elements and three loops (D, anti-codon, and T loops). The record is from RNAcentral.